This 7606-nucleotide long non-coding RNA is filed under the name Brassica napus (rape). RNAcentral's name for it is "long non-coding RNA (BNAP_LNC005251)". Lineage: Eukaryota; Viridiplantae; Streptophyta; Magnoliopsida; Brassicales; Brassicaceae. The record is from RNAcentral.
CAAGAGCUCUCAACCCUGAGCCGCUGAGCCCUACUUUCUCUAGCGCCAGGAUCAUCUCCGGCGUCAGCCAUUAACGCAGCUCGAGCAGAGACAAUCUGGCUAGACGUAAAAGAAGCGUCGAAGGUAGAGAAAUCCAUCCACCCCACAAGCAAUCCUUCUUUACCCCAACUCUCCGGUAUUGGAACUUUUCCAGCAACUUCUUCUCUGUGUCUCUUCAGCCUCUCACGUCCAGACAACACCGGUGUUGUCUCCGGCUGGACCUUUAUAUUCCGGCGACUCGUAAUGCUCUCCGGAAAACAUGUUUUUGUGACCUCCUUGUUUUGUUUCCGGUGAGAAGAUCCCGGAGAGAUUGGUUCCUUGGACUCGUCAGGUAAAGGCGAGUGAGUGCUCUUCAUUUUACAAUUUUUCUUUGUUUCAGUGUGGAAUCUAUAAGAAGAGAUUUUACAGAGAAAUGUUAGAAAUGAAAAUAAAAGAAAAUAAUAAUAUACAAGGUUGAAAAGGAAGGAGAGAACGUGACAGAGAUUUGUGGUGGCGCUGUCUUGUUUUGUGAUCACAUAUAAUAAUACUAUUUCUGUUCUAUGUUCUUUGACGUUUCUACGUCUCAUGUGAUGUUCUCUUUUUUUCAUUUUUUACAUUUUAUUCUAUUAAAUUUAAAACUAAUAUACAAGAUGUAAGAGCAUUACAUCAUUUUUUUUUUUUUGAUAAAUAGAUCUUAUGCAUUAUUAGGUUUUACCUUUUUAUCCAAUAUACCUAUUUAAAAACCGUUAAAUCUUAGAUCUACAAAGGGUUAUAUAUUUUUAAAAUUUAUGUGUUUUGACGAUUGAAUAUAAUUUAAAUUUUAAUAUUUUGACCGCUAAAAUAUUUGAUGUAGCUUUAAAAUAUUAAAAUUUGUGAAUAUAUGAUUAAAAACAAAUCUAAUAAAGAGUAACUAGAGUUUAACCCGCACAUCGUGCAGGUAUAUUUUCAUUUUAUAAAUAUUUAAUUUUGAUAUUAUUAUAAAAAUUUAAAUAUACAAUUAUAUAUUAGUGUUAUGUAUUUUAUAACUCUUUAAUUUUUAUCCAAAAAAAAUAACUCUUUAAUUUUAUUUUUAGGUUUCUUAUUACUUUAUUAAUAUAGGGGUUUCUUUUAUUCAUUUUAUCUUUUCUAUUACGUUUUUGAGUUUUCAUGAUUUGAAAUAAUCAAAUACAAAAUAUUCUUCAACAUAUGAUUUUUGAAAAUAUAUAACUGUAGAAAUAAAAUUUUAACAUAUGUUAAUAACUUCAUUUGUAUAAAAAAAAUAUGAUAUGAUUAACAAAUUUGAACCCGUUUUACUGGUAGAUAAUAAUUUAUUUAAAUGAAAGCAUUAUGUUACUUAAUUACGAAAUUAAUUAAUAGAACAUUUAAUAAAAAUUAUUUAAAAAUUUAGUAGGAUUUUGUUAGAUUUUUCUCAAAAGAUUUUGUUAUAACUCAAAAAUAAAAUUCAAAUUUAUAGUUAAAAUUAAUUUAUUAUUAAUAUUCCUAUUAAUUAUUAUGUCAUAUUAUGUGUCAUAUGUGAUUAGUGAAAUGGUUAUAGUAGACUUCUAAAUAGUAGAUAAAAAUUGUACUUCUCGUUUAAUAGAGAAGAUUAGUUACACUGGCUAUGAUAUUUUGAAGAAGGCUUUUUAAAUUGAAUUUAAAAUCUUAAAAAUUAAACUUAAUCCCUUAUAGAUAUUAAAAUAAAACACCAAUCGAUAAUUUCAAAGAAAACUGAUAGACACUGCUGAGCAAUUAGGACUGAAGAUUGAACCUUCUAAAAAUAGUUUCACUUUCGUGGAUAGAUCCCGAGUAAACUCAGCAGGCAUGAUCAAGAAUGUUAAGGUGGAGAUAGGGGAAUACAUUAUCCCUGUGGAGUUUUAUGAUAUAGAUAUCAAAUCAGGCAAGGCAUCUCUACUUCUUUUUGGAAGAGCCUUCAUAGUUACAAUGGAGACAGUUUAUGAUCUUAAGAGAAAUAAGAUGUGUCUGACUAAUGUUGAUGAAAUUGUCUUCUAUGAUUCAAUGGACAAAGAAGAAAAGUGAGGAGCUUAUUUCAUGCAUAGAGAUGUUUAAAGAUCCAGAACCUACAGCUGAGACAAAUCACCAGCCUGAAAUACCAGAAUCAGCGUCGGUCGAUAUUAAAAUUGCAGCAUCGGUCGACUUCUAGUCCUCAGAAUCGAUCGACAAUCUGCCUUCUUCAUCGGACGACUUUCAGUCUUCAGAAUCGAUCGACGUGAAACCUUCAGCAUCGGUCGACACCCUCCGACUUUUAGAACAGCCCAAUACUGAAAAGUCUAAGUCUGGGGGAAUGACCACGAAUAGAACAAAGAAAAAGAAAAGGAAUGUAGAUGAAGAUUUCUUGCCACUAGUCCCUUUGCAAUGUCAAGAGGGAAGUCCUGAGUAUAGAAUGUGCUGCAGAGGAGGUUCUGAACCUUUUACCAAGGUUACAGUGCUAUGUGAUGCAGAGCUGAGAGAGAAGGGAGAAGUUUCUGCAAGAUCGUUUAUCAACUGCAUCAACAAGAUGAGAAAGAGAGACACUGAGACUUGUUCUGGAGCAAGUGCAAAUCCUCAUUUGUUGGGGUCGAAAAUGGUUACGACGAAAUUAAUGUCUGAACCUCCGCAAAAAUGAGCGUGAGCAUCAUUUUACGAAAGUUAUACUUCGUAAAAAAAUGUCAUUACAAAGAACUUUACAGUAAAAUCUUAUUCUAAUCUCGAUCGAACAAGGUACCGAUUGUCUCAAGGCAACGGACACGUAUCAAAAUCAGCCACGGACAAGCUCGAGUAUGGCAAUCGGACCAUAGACAAGCCAAGCUCGGUCGCUACGCAGCGACCAAGCAUGCACACGGCUCGAUCGCUACGUAGCGACCAAGCACGCGUAUCGCUCGGUCGCUACGUAGUAACCGAGCACGUGUACGGUUCGAUCGUUACGUAGCGAUCGAGCUCUCUUAAAAUGUCGAUACGACACGAGUCCAUGCAUUCUCGUCUACUCUUUAAUGCUAUCUCCCGAAAACCGUGGCUAAACCAUUUCAUGUUUUUCGUCACUCGGAGUCAUCAAUCAAACUUUACGAUAAAACCGCGGAAAGUUUGUUUUUAUCGAAGAAACCGUAAUAAACGUUUCGAGUCAAAGACGGCCCAAAGAGACCUAAGAUGUAACUCGAAGCCCACUUGCGAUUUCUUAAACCAAAAGCCCAUAAGCUGUAUGACGGUUUAUGCUUGGUUCGUAAGGAAAGAUAAAUGUCAAGUUUCCGCGGAUAAAUUUGUAGUUUUCGAAGAUAAUCACGAAGUUUGGGAAAAACAGAAUAUCUCCAUUUUUAAGCUAUGACGACUUAAGGGCAGAACGGGAAAGUGUAAACCGACCUAGGAGCGAGUAUAUAAGGAGUCCUAGGCGAGAGGCAAAAAAAGAGAACUUUUUUCACAGCAAACUUAGCACUUAUAGCAAUUAGGCAACUUUCCGUUUUUUUUAUUUCGAGCUGCGACUCAACUAGGUUUUCCAGUCUUAGGUUGUUAGAACUAGGGAUCUCGCCGAAAACGCUCAUAGCCGAGGCUUCUACCUUGUUGUAACGCUCAUACGCGAAUUCAGAAUAAGACACCUUUUGCUCUUUUUACGAUUUCUUAUUUUACUACUGUUCUCGUUUCGUGUUCUGAUUGCUUGGUGUGUGGGAUUAGCAGAUAUCCGGGACCUCUGGGAAACAAGGGUUCUCCUACUUUCCUAAUUUAAACAGAAAUCGACAGUGCGAAUUUCGGUUCCCACAGUUUGGCGCUAGAAGGAUGGGGGGGGUACGGAUCAAUCUAACUCUUAGCCAUAACACGCUCAACCAGACAUGCCAACUGACGACACAGACAACAUGCAAACUCCUCUCAACGGAGGAAGCGACACCAAUCUCCACACUCCAGUAGCGGAUGUCUCCGCGGUCAACGCACCAGCUAACACCGCAAUGCUCGAGGAGUUUAAAAAGAUUUUCGCCACCUAUGAAAAAAGGUCAGAAGAACAUGAUAAGCUUGUGAACACCUUGACCAAACAGGUCGAAACCUUAACACUAAGGACUCGAGCAAUCCGGGCCCGCGGAACCACGAAGGUUCGCGGGGAAAGACUCGACUUCGCAACCCCAUUCGACAUGCCUGGAACAUCGCGGGAACGACCUUGGGUCAAAACCCUAGCGAAACAUCCCCUGCCGAGAAAAAAGAACUCUAAGAGUCAUCCACCUCCCACAAAGGGCUCGGAGGUCAAUGAAGUCGAGCACAUCAACUUGGAUCCCAUCGACGUCUCCAACGAUACCGAGGAGGACACUGAUAGACAUCCGAGAAGAAUCAGAAGCGGAUCGGCUCGGGAGAGCUCCACGUUCGAUAAGCCAAUGAUGGAAGAGAAGGAAAACCUCUACUGGGUCGAACAGGAGGAGAUGGCCAAAAAACAAACCGAGAUCACUCGCAGCAAAUGCCGACAAGCUUGGAAAUCUGCUGACGAGACGUCGGACAUUCGCGACCUUCACGAUAACAUCACCAAAACUGCGGCGGAAAUAAGGGCCGUGAAAUUUCAGAUCCAUCACUCUACCAGUGCUGCCCCUGAGAUCGAUAAACUGCUCGAGGGGGCCCGGAAAACGACCUUCACCGCUCGCAUCUCCGAUACGAGGGUAUCUGACCCGGGAAAAAUCAAAGUACCAAAGUAUGAAGGUACGACUGAUCCUAAAGCGCACCUUCAGGCUUUCCACAUCACGAUGGGAAGGGCCAGACUGAAGGAUAGCGAAAAAGACGCCGGCUAUUCGUCGAGAAUCUGGAAGGAGCGGCGCUCGAAUGGUUCGCACGCCUUAAGCGAAACUGCAAUCAAUUAAUGGAACCCGAACUCUGCUGGAUUAGAUACUUAGGCGCAUACGAGAGUUGGUCUAGGAAUCUAGUUGAACUUAAUUGAUUAGGUCAUUAAUGCUUGUCUAAGGAAGCAUCGAUCGUCGCUUUGGCCAUAGCAUCGAUCGACGCUCGAUCCAAGUCAACAAGCAACAGCUGAGACUGGACUUAGACACCUGAUUAAUAAUUACAUGCGAAAGCUGGAUUACUUACUUAUUAAAAUCGAGUUCUAGAAUUAAAUCUAUAAACCAUUAGCAUCCUUAAAUUGUAGUUUUGAAUCUCUUGAUUGAUAAAUCUCUAGGUCUAGCUAUUUCUCUUAAUUGUUUACAACCUCAAUCAACCAAUCAAACAACUACUUUUUUCACCUUGAUUUCAUUUAUUUAUUGCUUUAUAAACUGUUUGCCUAGCUUAAUCUUGAUUUCUAUAGUCUAUUGUGUGCCUUAGCUCUCAGUGUAUUCGAUCCCUAAGUACUACAAUUGAACCUCUUAUUUGAAAGACUAAAAUCACUCCUUAGGAUAAUUUGAGUGGUAUCAGAAAACAAUAGAAUAAAGCUCAACAAUGGCUUAUAAAUAACAUAAAUAGGGUUUCUGGUCGUCCAAGGGUAUUCUGGUAAUUUGUGUUUGCUUCUGGCUUCAUUCGGUCAUAAAAUCUGCUUGGCCCAUAUUCUGGCAUCACCGUCGAUCGACACCAAGGCUGUGUCAUCGAUCGACGGUCAUUCAUCUCCUCGACAGCUUUCUCUCGCGAGGUAGACUAACCACUCUUCAGUAAACCGGGCAUAACUUCUGCUACAUGAUGCUGAUUGACCUCAAACUGGCGGAAUUGGAAAGUUAACUCAAAGCUAUAUCCUCUGGUGAAAGAUGGGCUCGAUCUAACGGUGGGAAGGCCUCCAUCCAUAGCUAAAAAAAGUAUUUUUUCAAAUUUUUUUUAGUUAGAGCACCAUUAACCCUUAAAGACAAGUUUGGGUUCUUAAUGAUUUUUAAUGAAUUAAUGAUGCUUAAGAGCUAGUAGUUAAGAGACACCUAUAUAUUUAGCUCCAAUGGUAAGUUUUUAAUUAGGGGUUCUUGAAAAAAAAAUGUUAAACUUAAAUUUUUGAAAGAUGAAAUUGAUACCUAUAUAUUUAGCUCCAAUGGCCAUGGACGCAAAGGAGUUUCUAUAUGAAUUGUGUUCUGACCUUGAUCGUUUCUUGCAGUGAAGAUAAUGAUUCCAGUCUCAUCACCAACAACACAUUCAGCAAUCCGCAUCUGACGAGCUUGAGGACCACUGGGACGACCUCCUCCUCAGCCUCUCUGCAUCACCAUCUUCGUGCUGAUGACUUUCACGUUAAGUCAGAGACCAUUGGUUCCUGGUCUCAGCUCACUGGCCUUGGUGAACACAGGUUUCCUCAAUGCAGGUGAUGCCCCAGUCAUUUCUACUACACACCCAUAAAAGAACUAAACUUUCUUAGAUCAGCACAGAGAAUAACUCAAUUCACAAGCAACAAACAACAACUUUCAAUCUGAUAAUCAGAUCAGCUUGAUCAGACGAGUUAUAGUGAUAAAGAAAAGAAAAAGACUUUAACCUCCGAGAUAACAAAAAGAUUUCAUUUUUCAAUCACAAUAGUAUGAUUCUAAAAACCAACAUCGUCACAAGAGCGAUGAUUAAAGCUAAUCAGAUUAAAAAUGUAAUCUUUUGACCACUGAGAUUUCAUGGAAUCUCGGAUCGAGCAGAUAAGAUUCACGAUAAGACAAUUUGAAUCGAAACAAAAGAGAACUCACUUUUACGUUUUCGUUCGGGCAGAAGAGACGAUUCGAGGAGAACCAACAAGAUUGAAAGAAAAACAACCGAUCAGACAGAUUCGAGGAGAAGAUGCAUAAUCUAAGACAUGCAUAAUCAAGAACACAACAAUCGCUUACCUUCGAUUUCAGAAGAUAAACCGACAGAGAGCUCCAUCGCCUCGGAGAGAACUACCGAGAGAGAGGUCGCCGAAUAAAGCCACCGGAGGAGAUGUCGUCGACGCGAACCACCGGAUCGCCGACGAGAGCCACCGAAGGAGACGUUGAAAUCGCCUUGGCCGAGAGAGGUUUCGAGAGAGAAAGAGAGAGAGAGAGAAAGAGAGAGAGAGAGAGAGAGAGAUCUCAUCUUGUGACACCUGGCGAGCAAGAGGCGGCCCUUCCCUCUUUUCCCUAAGAGGUGCCUCUUUGCCUUUUUCAAUUUUUUAUUUUUUAUUUUUGGUUAAGAGUUACGCUAAGAGGUAGCGUUGAGUAUGCUCUUAGAUAGUAUGCAAUUUUCCUUAAUAAUCCAUGUCUUUCAAGGUUCGAUCGAUCGUAGACAAUAUUCAUUUGAACCGCGUCUACUAGUUAAAACUAUAUGAAACAACAACACAUACAUUGUCUCACCUGCAAUUCCCCAAAUAAAUCAUUUAAUUUACUAAUUGAAACUUUGAAUAGUUGUAUUAAUUUUCAGUUUCCAAAAUCAAUAUGAAGACAUGUAUCUAACAACAUUCAACAUCACGGUAAGAAUUAUUUCCUUACAUAUUUCUCUAAGAAUUGAAAUUAACAAGAGCUCUCAACCCUGAGCCGCUGAGCCCUACUUUCUCUAGCGCCAGGAUCAUCUCCGGCGUCAGCCAUUAACGCAGCUCGAGCAGAGACAAUCUGGCUAGACGUAAAAGAAGCGUCGAAGGUAGAGAAAUCCAUCCACCCCACAAGCAAUCCUUCUUUACCCCAACUCUCCGGUAUUGGAACUUUUCCAGCAACUUCUUCUCUGUGUCUCUUCAGCCUCUCACGUCCAGACAACACCGGUG